UCCUGGCAGGCUCUGUCAGUGGAGCAUGCGACUCUUGAUCUCAAAGUUGUGAGUUUGAGUCCCACGCUAGGUG
Molecule: transfer RNA, 73 nt
Filed under: Ailuropoda melanoleuca (giant panda)
Lineage: Eukaryota; Metazoa; Chordata; Mammalia; Carnivora; Ursidae
Rfam family: tRNA
About the family: Transfer RNA (tRNA) molecules are approximately 80 nucleotides in length. Their secondary structure includes four short double-helical elements and three loops (D, anti-codon, and T loops). Further hydrogen bonds mediate the characteristic L-shaped molecular structure. tRNAs have two regions of fundamental functional importance: the anti-codon, which is responsible for specific mRNA codon recognition, and the 3' end, to which the tRNAs corresponding amino acid is attached (by aminoacyl-tRNA synthetases). tRNAs cope with the degeneracy of the genetic code in two manners: having more than one tRNA (with a specific anti-codon) for a particular amino acid; and 'wobble' base-pairing, i.e. permitting non-standard base-pairing at the 3rd anti-codon position.
Source: Rfam by way of RNAcentral